Odocoileus virginianus texanus is the source of this 1044-nucleotide non-coding RNA. The record is from RefSeq and is a predicted model, not a curated record. NCBI's taxonomy places the organism in Eukaryota, Metazoa, Chordata, Mammalia, Artiodactyla, Cervidae.
AGAAGCAGAGCUCUGAGCAAGGAGAAGCCAGACUGCUCUGCCCCUCCUGCCAUGGGCUGCAGCCCCGUCUGCUGUGUGGCUCUUUGUCUCCUGGCAGCAGGCCUUGUGGAUGCUGGAGUUACCCAAACCCCAAGAUACCUGAUUAAAGCAAGAGGACAGCGAGUGACACUGCGAUGCUCCCCUGUCUCUGGACACCACUCUUUGUACUGGUACCAACAGGCCCUGGGCCAGGGCACCCUGAUUCCUCAUUGAAUAUUUCAGACAGGAAGUGAGGGGAGAAGCACAGCUCCCAGAUCGAUUCUCAGCAAAACAGUUCAGUGACUCUCGCUCUGAGCUGAACUUGAGCUCCUUGGAGCUGACGGACUCAGCCGUGUAUCUCUGUGCCAGCAGCCAAGACACAGCCCUGCAUGAUCAGGUGCCUGUGGAACAAAAACUCUCCUACCGCAGCUCAGGAGGUGUGGUGAGGAUGACUGCCUGCCUUCCAGGCCUAGAUAGAUCCGAUACCCUCUCCCAGACAUUCUUCCUCUGCUGUGUUUUAAUGCUCCCAAAGAUCAUCCUAGGUAAGUAUUAUUUCCCUGUUUAUACAUCUGAGUGGAACUGAGUUGCCCACGUCUCAUAUUUCAUUCCUUUCACGGCAAGGUAUUUGGUUCAAGUCUGUCCUCAUCUCUUGUGAUCUUUGCCCCCCAAAACUGUCCCCCACAAGAAUAAAUAAUAUACACAUAGACCAAAUACAUAGACACAUACAUGUUUUAAAGCAAUUGGCUCACACUGUUGUUAAGACUGGUAAGUCCAAAAGCUGCAGGCUGGUCUGGUGCUACUAGAGACUGAGGGGGAACUCAUGUUUAAGUUCAAAAGCAGAAGAACUAGUGACCCAGUGUGAAGGCCAUCAGCUGACAAUUAUCUCUUGCUUGGGGGAGGAUCAGUGUUCUUUUGUCUAUUCAUCUCUUCUUCUGGUUUCAUGAAGCCCACCUACCUUAUGGAGGGUCAUCUGCUUUACCAAUUAAAAUGCUAAUCUAAUCUAUUAUUAAAAUUUACCUAUUGACA